This 410-nucleotide ribosomal RNA is filed under the name uncultured bacterium. RNAcentral describes it as "bacterial SSU rRNA". It matches the Rfam family "Bacterial small subunit ribosomal RNA", at positions 36 to 492 of the family's 1533-position model. The record is from RNAcentral.
CUGGCGGCACGCCUAAACAUGCAAGUCGAACGAAGUAGCAAUACUUAGUGGCAGACGGGUGAGUAGCAUGUAGGUAUCUGCCCUUUGGCCUGGAAUAACACGAGGAAACUUGUGCUAAUACCGGAUAAGUCUUUACGGAGAAAGCUUUAUGCACCAUUGGAUGAGCCUGCACUUGAUUAGUUUGUUGGUGGGGUAAUGGCCUACCAAGACUGUGAUCAAUAGCUGAUUUGAGAGGAUGAUCAGCCACAUUGGGACUGAGACACGGCCCAAACUCCUACGGGAGGCAGCAGUGGGGAAUCUUGCACAAUGGAGGAAACUCUGAUGCAGCGAUGCCGCGUGAGUGAAGAAGGCCCUUGGGUUGUAAAGCUCUUUCGUCGGGGAAGAAAAUGACUGUACCCGAAUAAGAAGGU